AUGAAUAGAGACAUAACAUGUGGUAUAUCCACACUGGAUAUGCUACAAUGGAAUGUUAUUCAGCCAUAAAAAAAAAUGAAGUAUGAGACAUACUACAGCCUGGAUGAUCCCUGGAAACAUUUGGACUAAGGAAGGAGUUUUAGAGAGUGGGAGUAUGAAGUUGAAGAUGCAUAAACGCUAACACCCAGCAACCACCCUUCUUCCUGCGUAUCUUCAAGAAACCCUCCUGCGCGCACAAAGAGAUAUGAGGGGAAUGUUCACAGCAGCACUGCUUGGAAUAGCAGCAAGCCAGCUGCUAUGUUGUGAGGAUAUUCAAGCUGCCCUAUGGAGAGGCCCACAUGGUGAAGAACUGAGGCCUCCAGCCAACAGCCACAUGACUUCACCGUCUUGGGAAAGGAUCCGCCAGCCCCAGUCAAGCCUUCAGAUACCUGCCGCCCUGCUCAGCAUCUUGACUGCAACCUCAUGA
This 466-nucleotide long non-coding RNA is filed under the name Callithrix jacchus (white-tufted-ear marmoset). RNAcentral's name for it is "lncRNA (ENSCJAG00000083797.1)". Lineage: Eukaryota; Metazoa; Chordata; Mammalia; Primates; Cebidae. The record is from RNAcentral.